CAAGUCUGGUGCCAGCAGCCGCGGUAAUUCCAGCUCCAAUAGCGUAUAUUAAAAUUGUUGCAGUUAAAACGCUGGUAGUUGAAUUUCAAGGAAUCAAUAUUUUAAGUAAUGCUUUGUAUAUUUAUAACAAAGUUGUACGUUAAGAAUAACCGCCAAGCGUUAUAUUUUUUCUGUUACAUUUUGUUUUAUUAAUAUAUAUAUGCGUUCUUAUUAUAAAAAUGAUUCUUUUUAAAAUUCUUUUGUAUAAUUUUUUAUGCAUGGGAAUUUUGUUACUUUGAGUAAAUUAGAGUGUUCAAAGCAAACAGUUAAAACAGUUUCUGUGUUUGAAUACUACAGCAUGGAAUAACAAAAUUGAACAAGUCAGAAUUUUGUUCUUUUUUCUUAUUUUGGCUUAGUUACGAUUAAUAGGAGUAGCUU
Molecule: ribosomal RNA, 417 nt
Filed under: Plasmodium malariae
Lineage: Eukaryota; Apicomplexa; Aconoidasida; Haemosporida; Plasmodiidae
Description: SSU rRNA
Rfam family: Eukaryotic small subunit ribosomal RNA
Source: RNAcentral